GGCUUUGCAGUUCAGCUGGUAGAGCGUGCGCUGUACAGAUAGUGUUGGCGGCGUCCACGCGUGGGUUCGAAUCCCACCGAGGCUA
RNAcentral lists this transfer RNA (85 nucleotides) under Echinostoma caproni. It matches the Rfam family "tRNA". Rfam says of the family: Transfer RNA (tRNA) molecules are approximately 80 nucleotides in length. Their secondary structure includes four short double-helical elements and three loops (D, anti-codon, and T loops). Lineage: Eukaryota; Metazoa; Platyhelminthes; Trematoda; Plagiorchiida; Echinostomatidae. The record is from Rfam by way of RNAcentral.